RNAcentral lists this ribosomal RNA (484 nucleotides) under uncultured bacterium. RNAcentral's name for it is "partial 16S ribosomal RNA". It matches the Rfam family "Bacterial small subunit ribosomal RNA", at positions 30 to 507 of the family's 1533-position model. The record is from RNAcentral.
AUUGAACGCUAGCGGGAUGCUUUACACAUGCAAGUCGAACGGCAGCGCGGACUUCGGUCUGGCGGCGAGUGGCGAACGGGUGAGUAAUGUAUCGGAACGUGCCCAGUAGCGGGGGAUAACUACGCGAAAGCGUAGCUAAUACCGCAUACGCCCUACGGGGGAAAGCAGAGGAUCGUAAGACCUUGCACUAUUGGAGCGGCCGAUAUCGGAUUAGCUAGUUGGUGAGGUAACGGCUCACAAAGGCGACGAUCCGUAGCUGGUUUGAGAGGACGACCAGCCACACUGGGACUGAGACACGGCCCAGACUCCUACGGGAGGCAGCAGUGGGGAAUUUUGGACAAUGGGGGCAACCCUGAUCCAGCCAUCCCGCGUGUGCGAUGAAGGCCUUCGGGUUGUAAAGCACUUUUGGCAGGAAAGAAACGUCGCGGGCUAAUACCCCGUGGAACUGACGGUACCCGCAGAAUAAGCACCGGCUAACUACGUG